GUGGGUGUUGAUGGGACCCAAGCAUUUAUUGAUGAGAUCUGCAAGCUUGCCGAGUCUAACGGGUUACCAUCUGAGAGCUUUAGAUCUUCCCUCUCAGAAUUUUCUGCUGAUGAAGUGAGAAGCCAUUUGAGUGAGGCAGAGAAGUUUUUGUCUACAGCCCUUGGGUCUGAAUCUGGUGUCAAUGCUAUCUUUACUAAUGGAAGGGUUACUUGUCCUAUUGACGAGGGCACAUUUUUGAGUGUUGAUCUGCAUCUUCUUGAAUCGAUAGAGCUUAAAAAGAGGACAAAGCAUAUUG
This is a long non-coding RNA of Lathyrus oleraceus (garden pea), 295 nucleotides long. RefSeq lists it as uncharacterized. The transcript has 3 exons. Lineage: Eukaryota; Viridiplantae; Streptophyta; Magnoliopsida; Fabales; Fabaceae. The record is from RefSeq and is a predicted model, not a curated record.